RNAcentral lists this ribosomal RNA (460 nucleotides) under uncultured bacterium. RNAcentral's name for it is "partial 16S ribosomal RNA". It matches the Rfam family "Bacterial small subunit ribosomal RNA", at positions 338 to 795 of the family's 1533-position model. The record is from RNAcentral.
CCUACGGGUGGCAGCAGUGAGGAAUAUUGGUCAAUGGGCGCGAGCCUGAACCAGCCAAGUAGCGUGAAGGAUGACUGCCCUACGGGUUGUAAACUUCUUUUAUAAAGGAAUAAAGUGAGGCACGUGUGCCGUUUUGUAUGUACUUUAUGAAUAAGGAUCGGCUACCUCCGUGCCAGCAGCUGCGGUAAUACGGAGGAUCCGAGCGUUAUCCGGAUUGAUUGGGUUUAAAGGGAGCGUCGAUGGGUUGUUCAGUCAGUUGUGAAAGUUUGGGGCUCAACCGGAAAAUUGCAAUUGAUACUGGCAGUCUUGAGUGCAGUAGAGGUAGGCGGAAUGCGUGGUGUAGCGGUGAAAUGCUUAGAUAUCAGGAAGAACUCCGAUUGCGAAGGCAGCUUACUAACCUGCCACUGACAUUGAUGCUCGAAAGUGUGGGUAUCAAACAGGAUUAGAUACCCUUGUAGUC